GACGAACGCUGGCGGCGUGCUUAACACAUGCAAGUCGAACGGAAAGGCCCUGCUUUUGUGGGGUGCUCGAGUGGCGAACGGGUGAGUAACACGUUAGUAACCUGCCCUUUACUUUGGGAUAACUUCAGGAAACUGGGGCUAAUACCGGAUAGGAGCUCCUGCUGCAUGGUGGGGGUUGGAAAGUUUCGGCGGUUGGGGAUGGACUCGCGGCUUAUCAGCUUGUUGGUGGGGUAGUGGCUUACCAAGGCUUUGACGGGUAGCCGGCCUGAGAGGGUGACCGGCCACAUUGGGACUGAGAUACGGCCCAGACUCCUACGGGAGGCAGCAGGGGGGAAUAUUGCACAAUGGGCGGAAGCCUGAUGCAGCAACGCCGCGUGCGGGAUGACGGCCUUCGGGUUGUAAACCGCUUUCGCCUGUGACGAAGCGUGAGUGACGGUAAUGGGUAAAGAAGCACCGGCUAACUACGUG
Molecule: ribosomal RNA, 468 nt
Filed under: uncultured bacterium
Lineage: Bacteria
Description: partial 16S ribosomal RNA
Rfam family: Bacterial small subunit ribosomal RNA
Source: RNAcentral